RNAcentral lists this ribosomal RNA (462 nucleotides) under uncultured bacterium. RNAcentral's name for it is "partial 16S ribosomal RNA". It matches the Rfam family "Bacterial small subunit ribosomal RNA", at positions 28 to 507 of the family's 1533-position model. The record is from RNAcentral.
GACGAACGCUGGCGGCGUGCUUAACACAUGCAAGUCGAACGGUGAAGCCCUUCGGGGUGGAUCAGUGGCGAACGGGUGAGUCACACGUGAGCAACCUGCCCCUGGCUCUGGGACAACCACUGGAAACGGUGGCUAAUACCGGAUACGACCCGCCUCGGCAUCGAGUGUGGGUGGAAAGUUUUUCGGCUGGGGAUGGGCUCGCGGCCUAUCAGCUUGUUGGUGAGGUGAAGGCUCACCAAGGCGACGACGGGUAGCCGGCCUGAGAGGGCGACCGGCCACACUGGGACUGAGACACGGCCCAGACUCCUACGGGAGGCAGCAGUGGGGAAUAUUGCACAAUGGGCGAAAGCCUGAUGCAGCGACGCCGCGUGAGGGAUGACGGCCUUCGGGUUGUAAACCUCUUUCAGCUCCGAAGAAGCGAAAGUGACGGUAGGAGCAGAAGAAGCACCGGCUAACUACGUG